Agrilus planipennis (emerald ash borer) is the source of this 599-nucleotide long non-coding RNA. RefSeq lists it as uncharacterized. The record is from RefSeq and is a predicted model, not a curated record. The transcript has 3 exons. Lineage: Eukaryota; Metazoa; Arthropoda; Insecta; Coleoptera; Buprestidae.
ACUAAAUAAAUUUCUUUGUAGCAAUGGCGAGAUACAAAGAGUACGAUCAAUAAAGUAACCAGUACCAUUAACGCCCAGUUUAUUGAUGAGAGUCAAGUUAAACCACAGCGCCAAUUGGAUGAAAAUGCUACAACAACAGAGGGUCCUUACAGGAUAACUAGAAACGAACUUUAUCGUAUAAUCCGCCGAAACGUUAAAGGCAUUCAACGCCUUCUAAAGAUAGAAUUGCAAGAUGCACUAAGUCAACCGAAGCCAAGUUAUAAAAGCCUGCAUAAAAGUACAACAAGAAACACGAAAACGUAACCACUUUAGAUAGCAUUGAAAAUACGUGCCACUUGUUCUGUGAUAGUUUUUAAUAUUUUACGUAGAAAAGUGCAACAGUCGAAGAAAAGGCCACGUGAAAAGAAAAUAUUUAAAUAAAUAUAACCGUAGUCUUUAUUAAAUAAUUUUAUUUCAAGUCUGUAAAUACUUAUUUCUGUAUAUAUGUAUAAUAUAUCAAACCUAUAUAUUUUUUGUAAAUUGUUCUUGUAGUGUUAAGUAGAGUGGAUAAUGUGAAAGGAAUAAAAGUGUAGACGCACUGAUUAAAUCAAUUAACAUUU